UACAAGUGUUCAAACAAAUUUACAAUGAGCGAACAAAAUUACAAGUUUUAAAACAAAUUUACGUUUAUUACGGAAAGGGUAGGUACAAUACGCUGACGUCACGCAUCUGAGCCUCCGGUGGGAGGAAACCCGGAAGUAUCGCCCUGAAUCACAUGAGAGUUGUGAAUGCGAUGUUGUGUAUUAGGCUGUACAUAAUAUUAACGGAAAGAGAGUGAUAAUAUAUAACCUUUCAUCGCUUCCGAAGUGACUAAAAGGGAUAUUGGACCUUAUUUUCAGAUUACAGACAACACGAGAGGGUGCUUCAAACUUUUUAAUCAGGACUGCAUUGUUUGUUCGCUCCCGGGGUUACAUAGACUGAAACGAGGAAGUGUGACGAGUUUGUUUACAUGGUGCUGUAAACUUCAACCCAGGAGGACACUUCAAAGGAAUCAAGGUGUCUGUGAUAUUGAAACACUAAAGGAAGAAGAGGAGGACCACCAUUCGUUUCCUGAGCAGAAAAAAAAUUAAAUCUAACAGUGGUUCUGGGGCAUUGAAAGACUAUGGUUACCUGGAAACAUCUCCUAUUAUGGAAGAUUAUCGCAACAUUUGUGUCUUGGAUCAUUUUUUCUUGUUUCUCUGCCACAGAUCUAGCUGUAAGGUUUAAAGGUCCCGUUUAUCCUGAUCCCAUUUUUUAAACUUUAGUUGGUGUGUAAUGUUGCUGUUAGAGCAUAAAUAAUAUCUGUAAAAUUAUAAAGCUCAAAAUUCUAUACCAAGCGAUAUAUUUUCUUUAAUAGAAUUUCCCUUUCAAAGCCUAUAGCAAACGGCCAGUUUGGACUACAGCCCUCUACUUCUCGAUUGAAUGACAUCCAAAGAAGAGUUUUUUACUAACCUCUGCCCACUGGAAUAUGUCAGUCGCCAGCUAAACUCAAGUGGCUCUACUAAGCUGCUGUUGAAUCACAGCACACUAAACAAACUACAUAAUCAGAACUCGAUAGGUAUUUCUGAAGGAGGGACUUUAUAGAACAAGGAAGACAUCAGCUCGUUUUUAGUAAAGUAAAAACAGCGCUAGAGAGUAUGUGAAAAAUAUUGUCUUUUUUUACACACAAAACAUGAACACACGCUAUAUUGUACACCAUAAACACAAUCAUAGUUUGUGUUAAAUACUCUCAUUCUCACGGCACCCAUUCACUGCAGAGGAUCCCAUUGUAAGCAAUGUAAUGCUUAAUUUCUCCAAAUCUGUUCCAGUGAAAAAACAAACCAUCUAUAUCUUGGGUGAAAAAUUACUUUAAUCCCAAAAACAAACGUUUUUCAUUAAAAUGUUUUUACUUUGCUUUAUUGUUACAAUUUGUACAGUAGAUAGAAAAUAUACAUUGGAACAAAUGUAUAUACAGUGGUGUGAAAAGGUGUUAGCCCCCAUCCAGAUUUCCCAUGUUAUUAUUGCAUAUUUGUCACACUUUAAUGUUUCAGAUCAUCAAACAAAUUCAAAUAUUAGUCAAAAAAUAAAACCCAAGUGAACACAACAUGCAUUUUUUAAAUGAAGGUUUUUAUUAUUAAGGGAAAAAAUCAAAACUACAUGGCCCUGUGUAAAAAAGUGUGUUAGUACCCACUGGCUUUUAAUGUAAAUAUGUUUGGUUCUAAAAAUGUACAUAUAUAUUUUUUCAUACUUGAGACAAUAUACAUUGAAGUUCAUUUAUAAAUAAAACUAUAUUUUGAACAAUGA
Paramisgurnus dabryanus is the source of this 1699-nucleotide non-coding RNA. Lineage: Eukaryota; Metazoa; Chordata; Actinopteri; Cypriniformes; Cobitidae. The record is from RefSeq and is a predicted model, not a curated record.